This 232-nucleotide ribosomal RNA is filed under the name uncultured bacterium. RNAcentral's name for it is "partial 16S ribosomal RNA". It matches the Rfam family "Bacterial small subunit ribosomal RNA", at positions 100 to 334 of the family's 1533-position model. The record is from RNAcentral.
CGGGACGGGUGGGUAAUGUCUGGGAAACUGCCUGAUGGAGGGGGAUAACUACUGGAAACGGUAGCUAAUACCGCAUAACGUCGCAAGACCAAAGAGGGGGACCUUCGGGCCUCUUGCCAUCGGAUGUGCCCAGAUGGGAUUAGCUAGUAGGUGGGGUAACGGCUCACCUAGGCGACGAUCCCUAGCUGGUCUGAGAGGAUGCCAGCCACACUGGAACUGAGACACGGUCCAG